This 240-nucleotide unclassified non-coding RNA is filed under the name soil metagenome. Its description in RNAcentral is "partial contains 5.8S ribosomal RNA, internal transcribed spacer 2, and large subunit ribosomal RNA". The record is from RNAcentral.
AACCUUAUGGACCUGCGGGCGUAUACCUGCGGAAGGAUCAUUACACAUAUAAAAUAUACCUGGGAAAAUUCGAAAGAAAAGUACUCAGGCGUAUUCUUAUACCCAUGUCUUUUGCGUACUACUUGUUUCCUUGGUAGGCUUGCCUGCCAUUAGGACACCCACAAAAACCUUUUGUAAUUGCAAUCAGCGUCAGAAAAUAACUUAAUAGUUACAACUUUCAACAACGGAUCUCAGAUCGGA